AUGACGUCGACCCUGGUCGCCGCCACCUCCCGCCCUCUCCACCUUCCCGUCUCCCUCCCCUCGCCGCCUCCCGUGGCGCGCCCUGGCGGCGGCCGCCGCCGCCGCGCGGUCCUGCGCUGCGCCUCGGUGUCCGAGAUCGCGCCCGCGGUGUCCGCAGCCUACGGCGCACUCCUCGUGGGCGGCGGCGCAUUCGCAUAUGCGCGGUCGGGGAGUAAAGGCUCCAUCCUUGGAGGGGCCUCCGGAUCUGCGCUCAUGGGCCUCACAUAUUAUCUGAUGCAGUUUUCUGAGACGAAGGCACUAGGUGAUGCUGUUGGAUUUGGGUCCGCCUUUCUGUUUGCCUCUGUGUUUGGUAUCAGGUUGUACAAUACCCGGAAACUGGUGCCAUCCGGCCUUCUUUUAGCACUCUCUCUAGGUGCCCUGGGAGUCUUUUACGCUGCUUACUUGCAAGACAAGGUGUGA
RNAcentral lists this ribosomal RNA (459 nucleotides) under Triticum aestivum (bread wheat). RNAcentral describes it as "partial small subunit ribosomal RNA". The record is from RNAcentral. Lineage: Eukaryota; Viridiplantae; Streptophyta; Magnoliopsida; Poales; Poaceae.